Mercurialis annua (annual mercury) is the source of this 444-nucleotide long non-coding RNA. RefSeq lists it as uncharacterized. The transcript has 4 exons. The record is from RefSeq and is a predicted model, not a curated record. Lineage: Eukaryota; Viridiplantae; Streptophyta; Magnoliopsida; Malpighiales; Euphorbiaceae.
UAACCUGCUACGUUUCUAUUCCCUAAACCUAAUACUUCUUCUUCAUCUUAAAACACAAAGCUCAGCCGCCAUUAUUUCGUAGCAUCAUAAAACUUCAUCAAUCAUCUCUUCCUUUGCUUUUGAUUCAAUCCGCAUUAUUCUGAGAUUUCUUUCAACGGUUCCUCAUUAUUCGUCGAUCACUUGAAUCCUAACGCUUCGGAAUCAUAUACGACCCGUCGAUUGUUCGUACUUCAGAGGCGAACCAGAGUUAGAUUGCUUGUCAAGUUUCACGUGGAAUAACAAGCAGUUUAUGAUUUGAGCAUUGGUCAAUCUCCGUUUCUUCAUUCACGGAGGUUCUUUAUUUAUUUCAGAAUAAGAGAGUCGAACUAUUUUAACUCUUAGACCGCAGUAGUAGUAUUGGAUUAUUUAUGUUUUAGUCGUAUACUUAUAUUUUUAUACUUUUGU